This is a long non-coding RNA of Chlorocebus sabaeus (green monkey), 5143 nucleotides long. RefSeq lists it as uncharacterized. The record is from RefSeq and is a predicted model, not a curated record. NCBI's taxonomy places the organism in Eukaryota, Metazoa, Chordata, Mammalia, Primates, Cercopithecidae.
GCUGAGAUCUGGCCACUGCACUCCAGCCUGGGCGACAGAGCCAGACUCCGUCUCAAAAAUAAAUAAAUAAAUAAAUAAAUAAGAGGAAAUUACAGUUUACAUAUAGAGAUUUUUUUCAUAUUUGGGAUUAUAUCCUUAGGCUAGAUUAUGAGAAGUGGAUUUAUUGGGUCAUGAACAUUUUAAGACUUAAUAGAUGACUCAGCUGUUUUCCAAUGGAUUAUAUCAAUUUAUACUCCAAUCAUGUAUUAAAUUACCUAUUUCAUCAACCCCUUGCCAAUUUCGCAUUUAUCUUAAAAUGUAUAGGCAACAAUUGAAGUUGAAGUUGCUUUUCUGGGAUUCUUGACAUCUGUGAUUUGGUGUGGUGUGCUCAUCCCUCUGCACCAUGCUGCCUUCUGCUAGGGGGCUAUCAGGUCUGUGGGGCAUUUAGAACCUUUCCCUGAUUUUCUAGGAAUUGGCCUGUGACUUUCCCUAUUGUUAGGUCAGAGAUUACAGUUCUCUUUACACUCUUUAUAAAUUAAUAGCUUGAUUCUCUGCUUCCAACAUCUUCUGUCCUCACCACUAAUAGUAAGAACAGUUACUACUGCUGCUACAACUACUACUGAUUGAGUUGUAGUUCUGUACUGAGUGUGAUUCUAAGUACUCCACAGGUAAUAUUUCAUUUAGAUCUUACUGCAACGCAUUGAAGUAAGUGUUAUCAUCCCCAGUCCACAAAUGAGUAUAAUUAAGUGAAACUUCGAGAAGCUCAGUAACUUCCCCAAGGAUAUUCAACUGCUAAGUAGUAGAGCUGAGAACUGAAUUGGGGCUCUACCUUAUUUCCCAUCCCAGGCUUUAAACCACUCUGUGUUAUGCCUCUACAUCUCUGAGCUACCCACCUCUAACUCAGUCUGUCCUUUGGCUCUGGAACCAAUCCAGUUCUGAGUUAAGGAAAAUUAAGGCCCUCUAGCCCAGCAUCUGAAAUCACUGUUGUUGCUAGACCAGCUCUGAUUUUGUGGUGGAUUCACACUAAAUGGACUUUUGCCCAGUAAUGUUACUGAGAAGACACUAGGAGAACUAGGGCUGAUGAGAACACUCAUUACAAGGCAGCCUUUGCAAACAUUUAAAGAAAGUUGUCCCAGGGUGGUAACAUAGUUUGUGUUUCCUCUCUCAAUAGCGAAAUCUAGCUACACUUCAGCUUCUGCUUCUACCUUUUCCUUGUGAACAAAUCCCCACCUUAUUCCCAAUUCCAGUGACUAUGCUUUUUCCUUAGUCUUGAUAACUCCCUAGUAGCUUAGUUCCUGUAAGAUCUGCAAAGGAAUCAUAAGAUCUGCCUACUAAAUAGUGACAGGAAAGGGGGAGAGGGGAACACAAGUAGAAAAAACCUUGAGAACUUGUGAAUAUAAGGUGAAAUAUAAGGCUACAUUCAUUCACAUGGUGAUACUCACCCAUGGAUCUGGGCUCAAUAUUAUGCCAAGUACUUAUGGAGCUAGUCUAAGAGUUUGCUGGGAUAGUUCUUUAACACCUGAAUUUGAAUAUGGCUUCUGAAAUAAUGUGAAGAUAUCAGAACUCCCUUGGCAUACAAGAAGGGGUCAGAAAGCUCAAGGGUGUGAGAACGUUAGAAUAGAUUUAUGAUGUAUAAACUCACAGCCCAUCGCCUGACUAUAUACCCUAGCAGAGUCUAGUGAACACUUUUCAUUUUGGUAAAAAUAAAUGCACUGGUUAGUGGGACAGUCACAUCUUUGACAUACUUGGUAGUAGCUAUAUUGUGUAAACUGAGGCUCAGACUGGGUAAUAUUGCCAUGACAUUGAAUUCUUUACUGCCAAAUAGGGUUAAUGGGACUGGGGAAUGGCAGAGACCAAGUGGUAACUCUGAACUGGGUAUAAUGGAUACCCUGGUGCUCUGCCCAGAUCCUUUGUCCCGGGCCAAUGCACCUUGCUAAUGAGAAUAUUGGUUAGCAGCCCAUGGAUGUGUCUUUCACUGGAAAAGCCUCAUACAGUUUGCUAGGCAUUGAUCUGAGGCUGAUAACUGGAUGUACAAAGGUCUGUCCCCCUUGCCUUAAUUUUGUACAACUCUGAAGUGCCAUAUUGGUUCUAGAGCUCUCUGUUGAAUUAACUGAGGCCUCAGUGACAACCGCAUUGUAAGUUAGCGUCAUCCUCACCAACUCUGCCCUCUUAAUUUCCCUCAGGUGGAUCUCCUGAAAGCACUCCCAACAGGUCUUCCGUAUGCAGCUUUUCAUCACAGAGUAUGUUUCCAGGGGACACAAUAGAAGACAAUUGGUUCCACAAGUGUCCUAAGAACCAGAUUCUAAUAUGAGAUUUGGGGGCUGGAUGAUUCGCCAGCUACCUGGCAAUGAGAACACCAUCAUUGAUAACAGCUCAUCUAGCUGCUGCCCCUGCUGAGUCCAAACUGCCAGCAAUGGAGACAGACCUGAACCCUCCAUCUGCCACUAUUCCUCAGAGAAACCAGCCAGCCACUUGGUGCAGAGCAUGUGACAUAUACAGCUGUCCCUCAGUUCCUGGAUACCCAAGGAUACCAGAAUCCACAGCAUUCAUCCCUUAUACAAAAUGGUGUAGCAUUUGUACAUAAUCUACUCACAUCUUCCUGUAUACUUUAAGUCAUGUCUAGCUUACUUACAAUGCCUAAUACUAUGUAAAUGUGAUAUGAAUAGUUGUUAUACUGUAUUUUAAAAAUGAUACUAUUUCAUUGUUGUAUUGUUAUGUUUUAUUGCUUUUUCUGAACACUUUGGAACCACAGUUGGUUGAAUCUGCAGAUGUGGAACCUGCAGAUACAGAGGACUGACUGUAUUAUAUAUUAUAUAUAAUUUAUACAUGUAAUAUGUAUAUGUGUAUGUUAUAUAUGUGUGUGUAUAUAUAUAAUGUGUAUAUAUAUAUAAUAUGUGUGUGUAUAUAUAUAAUGUGUGUGUGUGUGUAUAUAUAUAAUGGCCAUGCUGUAAAGCAUGAAUUUCAGACCCUAUAAGAUUGCAAAUAUGCCUUUCAUUUAAAGCAAUGGGUUACGUUUAUGCCAAUUUAAUCUUUAACAUUAAUAAAAGGCCAAUUAUACUCUUCAAGAGUAAGAUGUUUUACGAGAAAAUGACAAAAAGAUACAUGUAAUCAUUGCAGUGCCAGUUUACCAUCAGAUAGAACGUGCAGUAAUCCUUUUAGCAAGCUUAAGCUUUUACAUAUUAAUGGCAACAUUGGAGAGUGGGAAGAUGCCUUUUACAGCAUUGCUGAGGUCCUUCCAAUGCAGAAAUGUCUCUGCCGCUUGGCCUGAUUACUAGCAUGUGCUGGGGAGAAUAACGCUGCUUUGUGGGCUCUUCCCUCCUCACUACUGAGGCCUGGGGUGGUUUUUUAAGUGCAGUGCUGUACAGAGAUUAAUAAUGAGGAGGGGAAAAAUUCAUUUAGACAUUUGACAACAUCUCUGUGACACUCAGUAUGGGUCUCAUAUGGAGUAGAUUUGCCCUGCAGAGAAAUGCUAGCAACACUUUAUUCUUAAACAUACGAUUAACCAGCUGCCAGAGACAACAGAACAUUUAAAACUUCUAUUCCAAUUGCCAAGUUACCAUCUAUAGGUCUCAGAGCUACUAAAAUGUAUUUAAAAGUGAGCCGCAAGACACAACGUGUGUUUCCUUAUGUGUAAGACACAGGGCGUGAACCAGAUGAGAGCCUUGAGGAUCCCUUUCUGAACUACAGCUUCACUGUGUAAAGGCAAAUAAAGUAACAGAGAAAAGCAAGCUGUUGACUCAGGGAAGUGAAUAAGAAACAAUACAUCAAUGGGCUCCAGGGAGACCCUAGAGGAAUAAGAAGUCUCAUAUCUGGAUGAGGAAGUUUUUCUCUGCACAGACCACUGUUGUGAUUUGGAAAAGAAAUCUCUCUCUAUAUAUAUUAUAGCAUAUAUCAUUUCAGCCACUUCAUGCCAGCAUGCAUUAGAGGUGGCGAGAGAGAUAAAGCCUUAAGGAAGAGAGAAGCUUUGUGGAUUACUGUUCUGAUAGCCUUUCUCCCAGAGGUCUUAAUGAGUGAUUAGGCCUCAAAUGAUAGAAAUUAUCCCAUUAUUCUUUGUGACCUUCCAAACUUGCCCAUGAAAAAACCCCAAAACCAAACAAUUACGUUUCUUGGAAAAAGCUUUCAUUUCUAUGUUGUCCUUGUGAAAGAAGAUAAUCAACACUUAACUCCUCAUUCCUUUCUUUCUCAAUGUAAAUAUUUUUGGAGUCACUUUUAGUUGAAAUAAGUAAUGUUAGAAAUUGUCAGAUAAACAACAUGCUUUGAGUAAAAUGUUUAUUUUAGGAAUUUAUCUUACAAAUACACAUAUAUGUAUAUAAGGACACAUGUUGAAGAAUAUUCACUACAGUAUUUUUUUUCAAGUUCACUACCACAAAAGUCUAAAGAAUAACCUAUGGCCCAUCCAUAGAGCAUAUUUUUUUAUUGAUAGUGCAGCUAUACAAACACUACUAUGCAACUGGUUAAAAAGAGUGAGUUGGUUUCAUAUGUAUAGACAUGGGCUAACCUCCCAGACAUAUUAAGGGCAAAAUGUAAGGUGUAGAAUAAUAUGUACAGCAUGCUGUCAUAUUUAUGUAAAUAAAAAGAAAAUAUACAUCUAUGCAUAUCCACAUUGACUCAUUCUGGAAGAAUGAACAAGAAGCACCUAACAGGCAGUUACCUCUGGGAAUGCGAGCCCAGUGAUGGGAGGUAGGAGGCCAAGAUUUUACUGUUUAUGUUUUUGUACUGUUUGAAUUUUUUCUAUUACCAUGUAAUGUGUCACAUUUUCAAAAUAAUUUUAAAAAGUAAACUAAUAAAUUUUAUUCCUAAGCUCUAAAUUGAAUAUUAGAAUUUUUAAUUUCUAAGCUCUUUUGUUUUUAAACUAGUUGUGUAUGAUGUCACACACCAUUGGCUAUUACUACAUAUUAGUAACUUGAUUCAUUGAAUUUGCCUGGUUGGUGACUGAUUAGAAAAUAUGAGCCACUGUAGUCAAAAGAUCCAUUCUGAGUAUAAAUUGAGAUGAUUUUUUUUUCCUUAGUCACAUAAAUCAGCUCAGAUACAUUGUUGCUCACUGUCAAUGAAAUAAGAUGGCUUUUAAGGACUUAAUUGCCAUAAUUCUGCAAUAGCAUUUGGGCACUGUAUUAGUCAAUUCUCACACUGCUAUACAUACAUACCUGAGACUUGGUAAUUUGUA